Molecule: ribosomal RNA, 439 nt
Filed under: uncultured archaeon
Lineage: Archaea
Description: bacterial SSU rRNA
Rfam family: Archaeal small subunit ribosomal RNA
Source: RNAcentral
GGACCUGACUGCUAUCGGAUUGAUACUAAGCCAUGCGAGUCAUUGUAGCAAUACAAGGCAGACGGCUCAGUAACGCGUAGUCAACCUACCCUAUGGACGGGAAUAACCUCGGGAAACUGAGUAUAAUGCCCGAUAGAACAUUAUGCCUGGAAUGGUUUAUGUUCCAAAUGAUUUAUCGCCGUAGGAUGGGACUGCGGCCUAUCAGUUUGUUGGUGAGGUAAUGGCCCACCAAGACUAUUACAGGUACGGGCUCUGAGAGGAGUGGCCCGGAGAUGGGUACUGAGACACGGACCCAGGCCCUAUGGGGCGCAGCAGGCGAGAAAACUUUGCAAUGUGCGAAAGCACGACAAGGUUAAUCCGAGUGGUUUCUGCUAAAGGAACCUUUUGUCAGUCCUAGAAACACUGAUGAAUAAGGGGUGGGCAAGUUCUGGUGUCAGCU